RNAcentral lists this microRNA (29 nucleotides) under Tribolium castaneum (red flour beetle). RNAcentral describes it as "tca-miR-11646-3p". The record is from miRBase by way of RNAcentral. Lineage: Eukaryota; Metazoa; Arthropoda; Insecta; Coleoptera; Tenebrionidae.
GGGGUGUCGCUUGUAUAGAGAAAGAGGAA